ACUCAAAUGAAUAGACGGGGACCCGCACAACCGGUGGAGCGUGUGGUUCAAUUCGAGACGAAACGAAGAACCUCACCAGGGCUUGACAUGGUACCGUUUAUUUCCCAAGAAACUGGGAGAAAUCCGCAAGGAUGGUACUGCAGGUGCUGCAUGGCUGUCGUCAGCUCGUGCCGUGAGGUGUUCCCUUAAGUGGGGAAACGAGCGCAACCCCUAUCUAAUGUUAAAUCUUCAUUAGAGACGGUCCCGAUUUAGGGAAGGAAGGAGGGGAAGACGUCAAGUCAGCACGGCCCUUAUGCCCUGGGCUACACACACACUACAAUGGCGAAAAACAAUGGGUAGCGAGCGAGUAAUUGUAAGCAGAUCCCUGAAAUUUCGCCUCAGUUCAGAUUGAGGGCUGAAACUCGCCCUCAUGAAGUCGGAAUCGGUAGUAAUCGCGGAUCAGCAAGCCGCGGUGAAUACGUUCUCGGGUCUUGCACACACCGCCCGU
Molecule: ribosomal RNA, 487 nt
Filed under: uncultured bacterium
Lineage: Bacteria
Description: partial 16S ribosomal RNA
Rfam family: Bacterial small subunit ribosomal RNA
Source: RNAcentral